This 440-nucleotide ribosomal RNA is filed under the name uncultured bacterium. Its description in RNAcentral is "partial 16S ribosomal RNA". It matches the Rfam family "Bacterial small subunit ribosomal RNA", at positions 339 to 795 of the family's 1533-position model. The record is from RNAcentral.
CUACGGGUUGCACCAGUGGGGAAUAUUGCACAAUGGAGGAAACUCUGAUGCAGCAACGCCGCGUGGAGGAUGACACUUUUCGGAGCGUAAACUCCUUUUAUAUAGGAAGAAGAUGACGGUACUAUAUGAAUAAGCGCCGGCUAACUCCGUGCCAGCAGCCGCGGUAAUACGGAGGGCGCAAGCGUGUACUCGGAAUCACUGGGCGUAAAGAGCGUGUAGGCGGAUUAAAAAGUCAGAAGUGAAAUCCUAUAGCUUAACUAUAGAACUGCUUCUGAAACUCUUAAUCUAGAAUAUGGGAGAGGUAGAUGGAAUUUCUGGUGUAGGGGUAAAAUCCGUAGAGAUCAGAAGGAAUACCGAUUGCGAAGGCGAUCUACUAGAACAUUAUUGACGCUGAGACGCGAAAGCGCGGGGAGCAAACAGGAUUAGAUACCCCGGUAGUC